GACGAACGCUGGCGGCGUGCUUAACACAUGCAAGUCGAGCGGUAAGGCCCUUCGGGUACGACGAGCGGCGAACGGGUGAGUAACACGUGGGUGACCUGCCCUCCACUUCGGGAUAAGCCUGGGAAACCGGGUCUAAUACCGGAUAGGACCUCUGGAUGCAUGUCUGGUGGUGGAUAGUCUGUGUCUUGACUGAUGCUGGCGGUGGGGGAGUGGGCCCGCGGUCUAUCAGCNGUUGGUGGGGUGGAUGGCCCACCAAGGCGACGACGGAUGGCCGGCCUGAGAGGGUGGUCCGGCCACACUGGGACUGAGACACGGCCCA
This 319-nucleotide ribosomal RNA is filed under the name uncultured bacterium. Its description in RNAcentral is "bacterial SSU rRNA". It matches the Rfam family "Bacterial small subunit ribosomal RNA", at positions 28 to 333 of the family's 1533-position model. The record is from RNAcentral.